UUACCAAAAGUAAUUUAGUUAAAUAUAUUACGAGGGUUUUUACUAUAUAAAGUAAUAAAACACAUUUAUAUUUGUUACAUUGUAAAGUUGAAAAGCAAAAUAUGGCUGACGUUCUCAAAUUUGUGUAUAUUGUGUUCUUAUUUGUUUCUCAAUUUUGUGCUGAACCCGACGACAAUCAAAAAAAUUGUGUUUCUGACUCCGAUUGUUAUAAAAAAUUUCAUCUUCCCCGUCAUUUUAUUAUGAAGUGCAUUAAAAAUCGAUGUACUUUUGUUUGAAUUUAAGGUAAAAUCUAUUUAUCUAUUAUGUCUUAGCCUUUCAUUCUUUUUGUUCAUCAUAAUAUUAUUAAUCUUACUAUUUCUCUCACACUUUCAUAUAUUUCUAUGAGCUUGCAAUUUCUUUGAUAGCCUUCAGUGGCGGAUCUUAAGUAAAUUUUUUGGGAUGUCAAAUUCCUAUGGAAUAUAUAUUAAAUGGUUUCAAGAAGUAUCAAUAAUUUAUAACCGGCCUAGUGGUAUAAAUCCUUUUAAAGGAGCAAGAGGGUGUGGGUUUGAAUCACUUCAAAAAUGUUUUUUUUUUUUAAUACAAAUAUAUAAUCGUAGAAGAUUGAAUAUGUAAUAAGAAGACGAAGGUGUUGAACCACACUAAAUCUCAUCCCUUCAAUUUGAUUACCUUAAAGACUUGAAAGCAAUCACCAAAAUGAUUAAUAAGGUCACAUAUUUCUUGAUUUAUCUUGCUAUAUGUUUCCUUUAAUAGUUGAUUUUACACUCUGAAUUUAUUUUCUCA
This is a long non-coding RNA of Medicago truncatula (barrel medic), 780 nucleotides long. RefSeq lists it as uncharacterized. Lineage: Eukaryota; Viridiplantae; Streptophyta; Magnoliopsida; Fabales; Fabaceae. The record is from RefSeq and is a predicted model, not a curated record. The transcript is spliced from 2 exons.